RNAcentral lists this ribosomal RNA (165 nucleotides) under Strobilanthes habracanthoides. RNAcentral's name for it is "5.8S ribosomal RNA". It matches the Rfam family "5.8S ribosomal RNA". Rfam says of the family: 5.8S ribosomal RNA (5.8S rRNA) is a component of the large subunit of the eukaryotic ribosome. It is transcribed by RNA polymerase I as part of the 45S precursor that also contains 18S and 28S rRNA. Functionally, it is thought that 5.8S rRNA may be involved in ribosome translocation. Lineage: Eukaryota; Viridiplantae; Streptophyta; Magnoliopsida; Lamiales; Acanthaceae. The record is from RNAcentral.
AAACGACUCUCGGCAACGGAUAUCUCGGCUUUCGCAUCGAUGAAGAACGUAGCGAAAUGCGAUACUUGGUGUGAAUUGCAGAAUCCCGUGAACCAUCGAGUCUUUGAACGCAAGUUGCGCCCGGAAGCUUUCGGGCGGAGGGAACGCCUGCCUGGGCGUCACGCA